Molecule: long non-coding RNA, 290 nt
Organism: Malurus melanocephalus (red-backed fairy wren)
Lineage: Eukaryota; Metazoa; Chordata; Aves; Passeriformes; Maluridae
Exons: 3
Source: RefSeq, a predicted model, not a curated record
UAUUAGGCAGAUUGACUGAGAAUGACUAACAGCAUUUCCCAUUAGUGGAGGGAAAAAGAAAAAAUUAAGAGGGCACACAAAGCACGAGAAAGGAAGGAAGAGUGGUUCUGUGAUCGCUUUACUGGAGUUGGUUCACAGACAAAGAAAACCCAAGAGCCAGAUAAUUUUCAAGAAAUUUGGACACCGAGACCACCAGGAGAAGAAGGAAAAUGAGGAUCUGUGUUUAACAGUGGUAGAAAUGCACCCAUAUGGGUUCUGGCUCUCAUAUCUCACCAAUGCUCAAUUUCUGA